This 1307-nucleotide ribosomal RNA is filed under the name Rhipicephalus microplus (southern cattle tick). Its description in RNAcentral is "SSU rRNA". It matches the Rfam family "Eukaryotic small subunit ribosomal RNA", at positions 494 to 1823 of the family's 1831-position model. The record is from RNAcentral. Lineage: Eukaryota; Metazoa; Arthropoda; Arachnida; Ixodida; Ixodidae.
UUUGAGGCCCCGUAAUUGAAAUGAGUACACUCUAAAUCCUUUAACGAGGAUCAAUUGGAGGGCAAGUCUGGUGCCAGCAGCCGCGGUAAUUCCAGCUCCAAUAGCGUAUACUAAAGCUGCUGCGGUUAAAAAGCUCGUAGUUGGAUCUCAGUUCCAGACGAGUAGUGCAUCUACCCGAUGCGACGGCUCGGACUGAACAUCAUGCCGGUUCUUUCUUGGUGCACUUCAUUGUGUGCCUCGAGAUGGCCGGUGCUUUUACUUUGAAAAAAUUAGAGUGCUCAACGCAGGCGAGUCGCCUGAAUAAACUUGCAUGGAAUAAUAGAACAAGACCUCGUUUCUGUUCUGUUGGUUUUUGGAAUACGAGGUAAUGAUUAAGAGGGACGGACGGGGGCAUUCGUAUUGCGGCGCUAGAGGUGAAAUUCUUGGACCGUCGCAAGACGAACUACUGCGAAAGCAUUUGCCAAGAAUGUUUUCAUUGAUCAAGAACGAAAGUCAGAGGUUCGAAGGCGAUCAGAUACCGCCCUAGUUCUGACCAUAAACGAUGCCAACCAGCGAUCCGCCUGAGUUACUCAAAUGACUCGGCGGGCAGCUUCCGGGAAACCAAAGUAUUUGGGUUCCGGGGGAAGUAUGGUUGCAAAGCUGAAACUUAAAGGAAUUGACGGAAGGGCACCACCAGGAGUGGAGCCUGCGGCUUAAUUUGACUCAACACGGGAAAACUUACCCGGCCCGGACACUGGGAGGAUUGACAGAUUGAGAGCUCUUUCUUGAUUCGGUGGAUGGUGGUGCAUGGCCGUUCUUAGUUGGUGGAGCGAUUUGUCUGGUUAAUUCCGAUAACGAACGAGACUCUAGCCUAUUAAAUAGGUGCGGGGUUCCCAGCACCUUACAACCUUCUUAGAGGGACAAGCGGCUCCUAGCCGCACGAAACAGAGCAAUAACAGGUCUGUGAUGCCCUUAGAUGUCCGGGGCCGCACGCGCGCUACACUGAAGGAAGCAGCGUGUCUUUAUCCCUGUCUGAAAAGACUGGGUAACCCGUGGAACUUCUUUCGUGAUUGGGAUAGGGGCUUGCAAUUGUUCCCCUUGAACGAGGAAUUCCCAGUAAGCGCGAGUCAUAAGCUCGCGUUGAUUACGUCCCUGCCCUUUGUACACACCGCCCGUCGCUACUACCGAUUGAAUGAUUUAGUGAGGUCUUCGGACCGAUGUCCGGCGCGGCCUUUCGGUUGCGCCGGUCUGUUGGAAAGAUGACCAAACUUGAUCAUUUAGAGGAAGUAAAAGUCGUAACAAGGUUUCCGUAGGUGAACCUGCGGAAG